UACGUAGGGCGCAAGCGUUGUCCGGAAUUAUUGGGCGUAAAGAGCUCGUAGGCGGUCUGUCACGUCGGAUGUGAAAGCCCGGGGCUUAACCCCGGGUCUGCAUUCGAUACGGGCAGACUAGAGUGUGGUAGGGGAGAUCGGAAUUCCUGGUGUAGCGGUGAAAUGCGCAGAUAUCAGGAGGAACACCGGUGGCGAAGGCGGAUCUCUGGGCCAUUACUGACGCUGAGGAGCGAAAGCGUGGGGAGCAAAGAGG
This 253-nucleotide ribosomal RNA is filed under the name uncultured bacterium. Its description in RNAcentral is "partial 16S ribosomal RNA". It matches the Rfam family "Bacterial small subunit ribosomal RNA", at positions 524 to 776 of the family's 1533-position model. The record is from RNAcentral.